RNAcentral lists this long non-coding RNA (202 nucleotides) under Elaeis guineensis (African oil palm). Its description in RNAcentral is "long non-coding RNA (EGUI_LNC030660)". The record is from RNAcentral. Lineage: Eukaryota; Viridiplantae; Streptophyta; Magnoliopsida; Arecales; Arecaceae.
CCGCCCAAAUCCAUGUAGAAUAAAUAGAUUUAAGUGACUUUCGAACCAACUUAACCCAAAUCUAACCAUACAACUAAUGCUGAAAUCAGAUUGAAUAUAGAUCGGAUAUCAGUGUAUCCAUAUCAAUAUUUGUUUUAUUUCAUGAGGAAUACGGAUAAUACUAGUUGGAUGCAAAAAUUCAUAUCCAUAUUAUUAUUACAUG